RNAcentral lists this unclassified non-coding RNA (436 nucleotides) under fungal sp. RNAcentral's name for it is "partial internal transcribed spacer region". The stretch from base 1 to 46 matches the Rfam family "Eukaryotic small subunit ribosomal RNA", at positions 1786 to 1831 of the family's 1831-position model. The record is from RNAcentral. Lineage: Eukaryota; Fungi.
AAGUCGUAACAAGGUUUCCGUAGGUGAACCUGCGGAAGGAUCAUUACCAUAUGUAUCCAUAUAAACACCUGUGAACUUUAUUUGUAUUCCGUUCGUUGUGAAGUGGGCGUUGCAAUGUGCGUUUGUGGAGCUCUUGAGUAGUGGUAGCUUCCGUCACAUUGUACUCAUCCUUUAUUGGAUGACCUGCUUGACACGAGCGUGUAUUCCACUGCUCAUUCAUUUUUAAUUAUUAACACCUUGUACCCAUUGUGAACUGAACAUAACGCACCGCUUUUCCGCAGCCGCAGCAUAGUGUUACCGAUAGUUUGAUAGCGCACGUGACCUUUUGUUACGCCUUUCACUCUGGAAGUAACGCAGUGCCGUAGCUUGCAAACGAGCAGUGUCGUAAAUGUACGAAACGUGCGAACAACUCUUAACAACGGAUAUCUUGGUUCUC